RNAcentral lists this ribosomal RNA (373 nucleotides) under uncultured bacterium. RNAcentral's name for it is "bacterial SSU rRNA". It matches the Rfam family "Bacterial small subunit ribosomal RNA", at positions 29 to 419 of the family's 1533-position model. The record is from RNAcentral.
AGCGAACGCUAGCGGCGGGCCUAACACAUGCAAGUCGAGCGGAGGGGCAACCCUCAGCGGCGAACGGGUGAGUAACACGUAGGUAAUGUACCCUCUGGUGGGGAAUAACCGUGGGAAACCAUGGCUAAUACCGCAUAUGUCUUUCGAGAUGAAAGCAGCAAUGCGCCAGAGGAGCAGCCUGCGGCCGAUUAUUUAGUCCUAGUUGGUGAGGUAAUGGCUCACCAAGGGUACGAUCGGUAGCUGGUCUGAGAGGAUGAUCAGCCACACUGGAACUGAGACACGGUCCAGACUCCUACGGGAGGCAGCAGUGGGGAAUAUUGCGCAAUGGGCGAAAGCCUGACGCAGCCACGCCGCGUGAGUGAUGAAGGCCUUC